GACGAACGCUGGCGGCGUGCCUAAUACAUGCAAGUUGAGCGCUGAAGGUUGGUACUUGUACCAACUGGAUGAGCAGCGAACGGGUGAGUAACGCGUGGGGAAUCUGCCUUUGAGCGGGGGACAACAUUUGGAAACGAAUGCUAAUACCGCAUAAAAACUUUAAACACAAGUUUUAAGUUUGAAAGAUGCAAUUGCAUCACUCAAAGAUGAUCCCGCGUUGUAUUAGCUAGUUGGUGGGGUAAAGGCUCACCAAGGCGAUGAUACAUAGCCGACCUGAGAGGGUGAUCGGCCACAUUGGGACUGAGACACGGCCCAAACUCCUACGGGAGGCAGCAGUAGGGAGUCUUCGGCAAUGGACGAAAGUCUGACCGAGCAACGCCGCGUGAGUGAAGAAGGUUUUCGGAUCGUAAAACUCUGUUGGUAGAGAAGAACGUUGGUGAGAGUGGAAAGCUCAUCAAGUGACGGUAACUACCCAGAAAGGGACGGCUAACUACGUGCCAGCCGCCGCAGUAA
RNAcentral lists this ribosomal RNA (513 nucleotides) under uncultured bacterium. RNAcentral describes it as "partial 16S ribosomal RNA". It matches the Rfam family "Bacterial small subunit ribosomal RNA", at positions 28 to 523 of the family's 1533-position model. The record is from RNAcentral.